This is a small nucleolar RNA of Meriones unguiculatus (Mongolian gerbil), 128 nucleotides long. The record is from Ensembl. Lineage: Eukaryota; Metazoa; Chordata; Mammalia; Rodentia; Muridae.
UUUCCCAUUUAUUUGCUGCUCUAGUCUCUCUGUGACCGGAGCAGUUAUACGCAUGGGAUAUAACAAUAUUGGGCCACUGUAAAUUGAGAUGAAGUCUGCUUUGUCUCUUCUGCAUGGUCUAGACAUUU